CAACCUGCCCUUGACAUUGGAAUAACAGUUGGAAACAGCUGCUAAUACCGGGUAUGACACAUCUUCGCAUGGGGGGUGGUGUGGGAAAAGCCUUGGCGGUCAAGGAUGGGCUCGCGGCCUAUCAGCUAGUUGGUGAGGUAAUGACUCACCAAGGCUUCGACGGGUAGCCGGCCUGAGAGGGCAACCGGCCACACUGGGACUGAGAUACGGCCCAG
This 215-nucleotide ribosomal RNA is filed under the name uncultured bacterium. Its description in RNAcentral is "partial 16S ribosomal RNA". It matches the Rfam family "Bacterial small subunit ribosomal RNA", at positions 122 to 334 of the family's 1533-position model. The record is from RNAcentral.